Molecule: ribosomal RNA, 699 nt
Filed under: Triticum aestivum (bread wheat)
Lineage: Eukaryota; Viridiplantae; Streptophyta; Magnoliopsida; Poales; Poaceae
Description: partial small subunit ribosomal RNA
Source: RNAcentral
AUGAACUUCGCUGCCCUGGGCAGCAAAAUCUUCAUGGCAAGCAACAAACACCCUAGCACCAUGGUCUACGACACAGAGACAGCUGGACUGGCCAUCGGCCCUCCUCUUCCGGCCGGACUGCACGGCGGUAUCCACAUCUUUGUGGCUACUGCCAACACGCAGUUGUAUGUGUUGAAGUAUAGCAUCAAGGAAAUGCGACAGUCAUUUCAGGUGCUGUCCGCGGUCGGCAUCACGUAUCCCCAUUCUUCAAAUCCAAGCACGGACUGGUGUUGGACAAGCGUGCCCUCUCCAGUGCCAUUCACCAAGGAUGACAUGAUCACCUCCUAUUUCCAAGGACAAGGCUACUUUGACAGUGAGUUGGAUGCAUGGGUUGGCCUUCACAAGGAUGGGUACAUUUGUUCCUGCCAAGCCGCUUCCUGCACCAACACAGUUACCAUGCAGCCGGACUGGAAGACGACUAAGGAGAAACUUUUCCUCACGUACAUGCGGAACACCAGGUUUUGCCUUGUGGAGAGUGUGGUAUGUGAAGAAGUGGAGUUAGAUGAUGCCUUUGGUGACUGUAAUGGCUUCAUGCUCUGCAUCACCAUUUUUUGUCUCAAGUACAAUCGUGAGGGAGAGCUGCAAACCACCAUCCGCCGCACCACCAAAUCCUAUCAAGUGUCUAAGCAUGUCACGUCAUUUUCUCCCGUGGCGUUCUAG